AGUGAACGCUGGCGGUAGGCCUAACACAUGCAAGUCGAACGGCAGCACAGUAAGAGCUUGCUCUUACGGGUGGCGAGUGGCGGACGGGUGAGGAAUACAUCGGAAUCUACUUUUUCGUGGGGGAUAACGUAGGGAAACUUACGCUAAUACCGCAUACGACCUACGGGUGAAAGCAGGGGAUCUUCGGACCUUGCGCGAUUGAAUGAGCCGAUGUCGGAUUAGCUAGUUGGCGGGGUAAAGGCCCACCAAGGCGACGAUCCGUAGCUGGUCUGAGAGGAUGAUCAGCCACACUGGAACUGAGACACGGUCCAGACUCUUACGGGAGGCAGCAGUGGGGAAUAUUGGACAGUGGGCGCAAGCCUGAUCCAGCCAUACCGCGUGGGUGAAGAAGGCCUUCGGGUUGUAAAGCCCUUUUGUUGGGAAAGAAAAGCAGCAGGUUAAUACCCCGCUGUUCUGACGGUACCCAAAGAAUAAGCACCGGCUAACUUCGU
RNAcentral lists this ribosomal RNA (491 nucleotides) under uncultured bacterium. Its description in RNAcentral is "partial 16S ribosomal RNA". It matches the Rfam family "Bacterial small subunit ribosomal RNA", at positions 29 to 506 of the family's 1533-position model. The record is from RNAcentral.